This 433-nucleotide unclassified non-coding RNA is filed under the name soil metagenome. RNAcentral's name for it is "partial contains 5.8S ribosomal RNA, internal transcribed spacer 2, and large subunit ribosomal RNA". The stretch from base 1 to 120 matches the Rfam family "5.8S ribosomal RNA", at positions 35 to 154 of the family's 154-position model. The record is from RNAcentral.
GAUGAAGAACGCAGCGAGAUGCGAUACGUAAUGUGAAUUGCAGAAUUCAGUGAAUCAUCGAAUCUUUGAACGCAUAUUGCGCUCUCUGGUAUUCCGGAGAGCAUGCUUGUUUGAGUAUCAGUAAACACCUCAACUUCCAUAUCUUUUUUGAAAUGGGAGUUGGACUUGAGUGAUCCCAACGCUUUUCCUCACCGAAAAGUGGCGGGUUACUUGAAAUGCAGGUGCAGCUGGACUUUUCUCUGAGCUAUAAGCAUAUCUAUUUAGUCUGCCUAAAAAACAGAUUAUUACCUUUGCUGCAGCUAACAUAAAGGAGAUUAGUUCUUGUGCUGACUGAUGCAGGAUUCACAAAGACAGGCUUCGGCCGACUUUGUAAACUCGAUCUCAAAUCAAGUAAGACUACCCGCUGAACUUAAGCAUAUCAAUAAGCGGAGGA